ACCACAUUGACAUGUUAGUAAGUUAAUCUUUUUUGUAUUUAAGAUCAGUGUACGUUAAAUGAAAGAGAAGAAGAGAAAAUUGUAGUAAAUUGUGUUUUGUUUUAUUAGUUUGUUUUUUACAAACUAUCUUAGCUUUAAGGAGGGACAUUAAUUGGUAUCAAAACAACUUGUGUUAUAAGGUAUCAAAGGGGUGAUUAGGUUCACUCUUAACAAUUGGUAUCAGAGCAUUGAUUUGAAUAUCUUAUGUGUUACGGAUUUAUAAUUCUAUCCUAUAAAGCUUCCGCUACAUUGAUCUAGGUUUUGGGAAUAUGAUUUGAUUAAUAAAAGUUAAGAGAUUUCCCUUUAAUCCUUGUUUUCGGCUAGAUCAUUGGUGUUCUCAACGAAUUUAAAAAGACAUUGAUCAUAGGUAUUCUUUGACUAAAUAAGAUCUUUGU
This 434-nucleotide long non-coding RNA is filed under the name Brassica napus (rape). RNAcentral's name for it is "long non-coding RNA (BNAP_LNC023117)". The record is from RNAcentral. Lineage: Eukaryota; Viridiplantae; Streptophyta; Magnoliopsida; Brassicales; Brassicaceae.